RNAcentral lists this ribosomal RNA (79 nucleotides) under Staphylococcus epidermidis. The record is from RNAcentral. Lineage: Bacteria; Bacillati; Bacillota; Bacilli; Caryophanales; Staphylococcaceae.
UCUGGUGACAAUGGCAAGGAGGUCACACCUGUUCCCAUGCCGAACACAGAAGUUAAGCUCCUUAGCGCCGAUGGUAAGC